AUUGAACGCUGGCGGAAUGCUUUACACAUGCAAGUCGAACGGCAGCACGGACUUCGGUCUGGUGGCGAGUGGCGAACGGGUGAGUAAUGUAUCGGAACGUGCCCAGUCGUGGGGGAUAACGUAGUGAAAAUUACGCUAAUACCGCAUACGAUCUAUGGAUGAAAGCGGGGGAUCGCAAGACCUCGCGCGAGUGGAGCGGCCGAUAUCAGAUUAGGUAGUUGGUGGGGUAAAGGCCCACCAAGCCAACGAUCUGUAGCUGGUCUGAGAGGACGACCAGCCACACUGGAACUGAGACACGGUCCAGACUCCUACGGGAGGCAGCAGUGGGGAAUUUUGGACAAUGGGCGAAAGCCUGAUCCAGCCAUUCCGCGUGCAGGAUGAAGGCCCUCGGGUUGUAAACUGCUUUUGUACAGAACGAAAAGGUUUCUACUAAUACUAGGAGCUCAUGACGGUACUGUAGAAUAAGCACCGGCUAACUACGUGCCAGCAGCCGCAGUAA
Molecule: ribosomal RNA, 499 nt
Filed under: uncultured bacterium
Lineage: Bacteria
Description: partial 16S ribosomal RNA
Rfam family: Bacterial small subunit ribosomal RNA
Source: RNAcentral